GAUGAACGCUGGCUACAGGCUUAACACAUGCAAGUCGAGGGGAAACGGCAUUGAGUGCUUGCACUGAAUGGACGUCGACCGGCGCACGGGUGAGUAACGCGUAUCCAACCUUCCCGUUACUGCGGGAUAACCUGCCGAAAGGCAGACUAAUACCGCAUGUUCUUCGAUGACGGCAUCAGAUUCGAAGCAAAGAUCCGUCGGUAACGGAGGGGGAUGCGUCUGAUUAGCUAGUUGGCGGGGCGACGGCCCACCAAGGCGACGAUCAGUAGGGGUUCUGAGAGGAAGGUCCCCCACAUUGGAACUGAGACACGGUCCAAACUCCUACGGGAGGCAGCAGUGAGGAAUAUUGGUCAAUGGGCGGAAGCCUGAACCAGCCAAGUAGCGUGCAGGAUGACGGCCCUACGGGUUGUAAACUGCUUUUGUAUGGGGAUAAAGUCAAUCACGUGUGAUUGUUGCAGUACCGCAU
This 466-nucleotide ribosomal RNA is filed under the name Prevotella sp. oral taxon G64. RNAcentral describes it as "bacterial SSU rRNA". It matches the Rfam family "Bacterial small subunit ribosomal RNA", at positions 28 to 483 of the family's 1533-position model. The record is from RNAcentral. Lineage: Bacteria; Pseudomonadati; Bacteroidota; Bacteroidia; Bacteroidales; Prevotellaceae.